This 246-nucleotide ribosomal RNA is filed under the name uncultured bacterium. Its description in RNAcentral is "partial small subunit ribosomal RNA". It matches the Rfam family "Bacterial small subunit ribosomal RNA", at positions 26 to 288 of the family's 1533-position model. The record is from RNAcentral.
AGAAUCAACGCUGGCGGCGUGCCUAACACAUGCAAGUCGAACGAGAAAGUGGAGCAAUCCAUGAGUAAAGUGGCGACCGGGUGAGUAACACGUGACUAACCUACCUUCGAGUGGGGGAUAACCUCGGGAAACCGGGGCUAAUACCGCAUAAUAUCCACGGAUCAAAGGAGCAAUUCGCUUGAAGAGGGGGUCGCGGCUGAUUAGUUAGUUGGCGGGUAAUGGCCCACAAGACAAUGAUCGGUAGCC